Non-coding RNA from Triticum urartu, 2873 nucleotides. The record is from RefSeq and is a predicted model, not a curated record. Lineage: Eukaryota; Viridiplantae; Streptophyta; Magnoliopsida; Poales; Poaceae.
CUGAUCCGCAACACCAGCCCGCCACCGCGACCUCUCCUCCCACAGCGCGCCGCCGGUGCCUCCCCCUCCCCCAGGGCGCCGCCGCGGCCCCUCCUCCCCCAGCGCGCCGCCGGGGCCUACCCCUCCCCGCAGCGCGCCGCCGUGGCCUCCCCUCUUCCCCAGCGCGCCGCCCUGCCCCCACCUUCUCCCUCGGCUACGGUCGCCGCCCCACCCCCACCUUCUCCCUCGGCUUCGGCUGCCGCCCCCCACCCCCACCUUCACCUUCUCCCUUGGCUUCGGCCCGAGCACAUCCUGGCUCCGACGGCACCGGCUGUGAUCCGCCCCCCACCCCCUGGAUCUGCCGCCGCCGCAACCAGCCCAAGUCUGGUUUGUGCUGCUCCUCUCCUCCUUUCCGUCACUGCCGUUCAUCCUGGUUAGCUCUCCAUCGAAUGGCCCCGGUCGCUACUCACCUCCACAGCCUCUGUUCGUGGUGUUCUUCUGCCCGCGGCUGCCUUCGAUCACGAGCUCGUCCACCACAAUCGCUGGUAGCUGUCCAAGUCGAUCUCUAACCGCAGUACGAGCAGAACUUCGCUGGUAGUUGUCCCUACACUUGGACUGAAAGUUUUUUGCCCCUAUACUGCCACACAUAGUAACCCAUGGCUUGCGCUCAGUGCCUAUGGGGGAGCCGUGGGGUCGAGCCUCUUCGUCUCGGCAGUACAACUGCAUGCUCCCCCGCCGGUCACGAGAAGAGCAAUGGGCAGGCCACCCCGCGCUCCACCCUGAAUUUGUUCAAUGGUCUGUUCACCGUCGUCCUGGUUCCUGCCCGGCGGCCGUCGUACUGGAUCACGCGCCACUGCUGUCGUUCUUUUCUUGGUUGGAGACAGGAAGCGCCGCCUAGGAGGACUCGCCGUGGGCCAUGCUGCACCAUCGACGGCCUCCAUCAUUACGUCUCCUGCCAUCCUCUCGUUUAUCCCCAUACGUGCUAAAAUUUCUUUGAUGUCGUGAUCUGUAGUUACUAUGAACUGAUAGGUAAAAGUAUAUCUCUCUAGUGCCCUCUCUCUCUCUCUCCAUGCUUUGUAGUUUGUGUGAACUGAUAGUUGAGAUUCGAUGAAAUGUCCAUUUCGAUUCUGUGAACUCAUAGCUGAAAGUUUUGUGAACUAGUAUUUUUUGUUCUUCAGAUAUUUGACACUUUCGUGAACUGAAAGCUGAUACUUCAGAUCUCCUACCAAUGAACAAGGACAAAGAAGAAAGGAAGAUAGAUGCCUCUUUGUUACUACCGGGAAGAAUUGAUUUAAGAUAUCGGUCUUACUUCUGUCAAGAUCCAACGUAAUUUUAUUUACCUUUUCCCCCAGGCCAUGCACCGUCGCAGCUCUCAAGCCGAUUGUGUCGAGCUUCCUGCCACUGCCGGUGGGGCUCCAUCGUCGCACCACCCAUACCGUUCACUGCCGGUGGGGCUGCCAUCUAUACUGUACUCCCACCAUCCCCAGCUAGAGAACUGCGUGUUACACUUGCACCCUUCAGAUACAGAUAUUAGUACAUACAGUAUGUGAGCAGCCUGCAGUUUCUUAAUCUAAUAAUGCGCUCCAUUGAGUUAUUUGCCUUAUGCUAUGUUCAUGAUAAUGUGAGAAAGAUGACAGGCAAGUUACUGUGUUGUAUGAGUGUACACACAUUUGUUUGUUCGUGAAUUAAUUACAUGCGUUUCCUGAAAGAUUUGUUGGCAGUACUUGCUUAUAUGUUGAAGAUUUCUGCUGGAAACGAGUUCAUUAUUUUGCCCUUGGACUUGUAGAUGGAGUGUUGGCAAAGACAACUAUGGAGAGGAAACUGUCGAUGGCGAAGAAUUGGGAGUCAGAAGAGCAAAGCCGACAGCAGGGCCAAGCAGAAGAUGUCGCUAAUGUUGUUGGGUCAUGGGAGAACACCAAAACAGAAGGCAGUCCUUGACGUGAAUCUCUGAAUGCCAGAGGUCUCGACUCUGAAUCUGGACCUUGCCUAGUUGCCUUUUUGUGUUUGCUAGAUCAGUACUAGUGCUCAGUAGUACGACAAGUAGCAGUACUGAUCAGUACGACUUACACAAUACUAGUACUGAUCAGUACUAUUUCUAAUGUUAAAAGUAACAUCCAUACAGUAUUGAUGAUUAAUACUGACAAGGAUGCUGUCUACAAUUCUGAACUUAUUGUUGACUCAUACUAGUAUUGAUGAAAUGGAAAGCAAGUGUCACAUGAAUCCUCAAUUGAAAUGGGAAGGAAGGUUACAAUGAGACCCGGGGAAAUCACUAUUUAUUCUAUCCUUGGUUCUUAGAAAAACAUGGAAACAAUUCUUUGCGUGUUAGAAUAUCAGUCCAUGUGGAGAAGAACAUGUUUCCUAUAUGAAAAAUUAAUACAUUAUUAUCAGUUCAAUGUGUAUUUCGUCAUUAGUUCAUACAGAACAACCGUAAAAAUAUAUUUUGAUGUGUGUUGGAGAGAGUUCAGCUUUAUAUUAUAUGGUAGCUCACUCCCUCCGAGGCAAAUAAUGAUUUUUUGUCAAUGCAAUCCACAAUCCAGUACAUGGUGUACCUUUUUACUAAGAGUACAAGUCCGAGUUUCCAAUCUUUUGAUGAUUUGGUAUCUGUUUAGAGAAAAAUCAAGGUGAAUUUUUUGGUUGCAGGAAUGGAAGGCUCCCCACCCACCGAGACCAAAUACAUGCUGCUCGAGAAGGACCACUCAUAAGGAAUAUGUAGGGGAAAAGUUCACUUAAUCUGCUACUCAAGCUCAUAUGUAAAAGUUUGAAGGCUGUCGUAGAGCAAGUUCUAGAUCAAAGGGUGUAAUUUCUGUUUCAAUUACUGCUAGUAUUGGAUUUUGUACUAUGGACAAAUGUAGACAACUGUGUUUCUUGUAUGUGUUGCCAUUCCAUUUUUGAUA